This 498-nucleotide ribosomal RNA is filed under the name uncultured bacterium. RNAcentral's name for it is "partial 16S ribosomal RNA". It matches the Rfam family "Bacterial small subunit ribosomal RNA", at positions 30 to 523 of the family's 1533-position model. The record is from RNAcentral.
AUUGAACGCUGGCGGCAUGCCUUACACAUGCAAGUCGAACGGUAACAGGUCUUCGGAUGCUGACGAGUGGCGAACGGGUGAGUAAUACAUCGGAACGUGCCUAGUAGUGGGGGAUAACUACUCGAAAGAGUGGCUAAUACCGCAUGAGAUCUACGGAUGAAAGCAGGGGAUCGCAAGACCUUGUGCUACUAUAGCGGCCGAUGGCAGAUUAGGUAUUUGGUGGGAUAAAAGCUUACCAAGCCGACGAUCUGUAGCUGGUCUGAGGGGACGAUCAGCCACACUGGGACUGAGACACGGCCCAGACUCCUACGGGAGGCAGCAGUGGGGAAUUUUGGACAAUGGGCGCAAGCCUGAUCCAGCAAUGCCGCGUGCAGGAUGAAGGCCUUCGGGUUGUAAACUGCUUUUGUACGGAACGAAAAGCCCCGGGUUAAUACCCUGGGGUCAUGACGGUACCGUAAGAAUAAGCACCGGCUAACUACGUGCCAGCCGCCGCGGUAA